GGGGAUGCAUUGCAUCGACAGGAUUCGCACUUUAAAAACUGCAAGCCGGCUUUGAUUAGUAGCCGUAAAACAUAAUCAAAAAUUAAAUGCUAGAAACAGCAUUUCAGCCUUAAGGGCGGAAAGAGAUUCAAUUCUCGCCGAACUUUUUGGCGUUCGACAACCCGCUUACGCACUAGUUGCUUAAGUAAGUUUUGAGCUGUUCAUAAUGUCUUUUCUCAAUGGGGCAAUAUGAGCAUAAAUACAGUUGAGAAAUUAAUAAGGAAGCCGAUUAGCUCCUUAUCGAAUUUAUAAUCUUGGUUUUAUUUAUUCCCUUCUAUUGGAAAAGAAUAAAGCGACUCUUAAAAGUAGAAUAAGCUUGUAGAGGUUUUUAAAAUGUUUUCUUGGACUCCGGUUCACUGCCGGACAUCUCCACCG
This 414-nucleotide transfer-messenger RNA is filed under the name Patescibacteria group. RNAcentral's name for it is "GCA-002784865 sp002788395 Standard tmRNA". It matches the Rfam family "transfer-messenger RNA". Rfam says of the family: Bacterial tmRNA, also known as 10Sa RNA or SsrA, is named for its dual tRNA and mRNA-like properties. RNAcentral also lists the same sequence under 1 other name. The record is from RNAcentral.